Molecule: ribosomal RNA, 429 nt
Filed under: Chloroflexota bacterium
Lineage: Bacteria; Bacillati; Chloroflexota
Description: Chloroflexi bacterium partial 16S ribosomal RNA
Rfam family: Bacterial small subunit ribosomal RNA
Source: RNAcentral
UGGGGAAUAUUGCACAAUGGGCGCAAGCCUGAUGCAGCCAUGCCGCGUGUAUGAAGAAGGCCUUCGGGUUGUAAAGUACUUUCAGUCGGGAGGAAGGUGGUAAGGUUAAUAACCUUAUCAAUUGACGUUACCGACAGAAGAAGCACCGGCUAACUCCGUGCCAGCAGCCGCGGUAAUACGGAGGGUGCAAGCGUUAAUCGGAAUUACUGGGCGUAAAGCGCACGCAGGCGGUUGAUUGAGUCGGAUGUGAAAUCCCCGGGCUUAACCCGGGAAUUGCAUCUGAUACUGGUCAGCUAGAGUCUUGUAGAGGGGGGUAGAAUUCCAUGUGUAGCGGUGAAAUGCGUAGAGAUGUGGAGGAAUACCGGUGGCGAAGGCGGCCCCCUGGACAAAGACUGACGCUCAGGUGCGAAAGCGUGGGGAGCAAACAGG